RNAcentral lists this ribosomal RNA (211 nucleotides) under uncultured bacterium. RNAcentral's name for it is "partial 16S ribosomal RNA". It matches the Rfam family "Bacterial small subunit ribosomal RNA", at positions 568 to 775 of the family's 1533-position model. The record is from RNAcentral.
CGUGUAGGCGGCGAUUUAAGUCAGACGUGAAAAACUCAAGGCUUAACCAUGGGACUGCGUUUGAAACUGGAUGGCUAGAGGAUCGGAGAGGGCAGUGGAAUUCCCAGUGUAGCGGUGAAAUGCGUAGAUAUUGGGAGGAACACCAGUGGCGAAGGCGACUGCCUGGACGACACCUGACGCUGAGGCGCGAAAAGCCGAGGGGAGCGGAACG